RNAcentral lists this ribosomal RNA (430 nucleotides) under uncultured bacterium. RNAcentral describes it as "bacterial SSU rRNA". It matches the Rfam family "Bacterial small subunit ribosomal RNA", at positions 1 to 437 of the family's 1533-position model. The record is from RNAcentral.
UAGAGUUUGAUCCUGGCUCAGGACGAACGCUGGCGGCGUGCCUAAUACAUGCAAGUCGAGCGAAUCUUCUUCGGAAGGUUAGCGGCGGACGGGUGAGUAACACGUGGGCAACCUGCCUGUAAGACUGGGAUAACACCGGGAAACCGGUGCUAAUACCGGAUAAUCCUUCUCUGCUCAUGCAGGGAAGCUGAAAGACGGUUUCGGCUGUCACUUACAGAUGGGCCCGCGGCGCAUUAGCUAGUUGGUGAGGUAACGGCUCACCAAGGCGACGAUGCGUAGCCGGCCUGAGAGGGCGGUCGGCCACACUGACACUGACAUACGGGUCAGACUCCUACGGGAGGCAGCAGUCGGGAAUUUUGGGCAAUGGGCGAAAGCCUGACCCAGCAACGCCGCGUGAAGGAUGAAAUCCUUCGGGAUGUAAACUUCGCAA